Molecule: non-coding RNA, 82 nt
Organism: Neoarius graeffei (lesser salmon catfish)
Lineage: Eukaryota; Metazoa; Chordata; Actinopteri; Siluriformes; Ariidae
Source: the annotation of a RefSeq genome assembly
GUAGUCAUGGCCGAGUGGUGAAGGCGACGGACUUGAAAUCCGUUGGGGUUUCCCCGCUCAGGUUCGAAUCCUGCUGGCUACG